This 253-nucleotide ribosomal RNA is filed under the name uncultured bacterium. RNAcentral describes it as "partial 16S ribosomal RNA". It matches the Rfam family "Bacterial small subunit ribosomal RNA", at positions 524 to 776 of the family's 1533-position model. The record is from RNAcentral.
UACGGGGGGGGCAAGCGUUGUUCGGAAUUACUGGGCGUAAAGGGCUCGUAGGCGGCCAACUAAGUCAGACGUGAAAUCCCUCGGCUUAACCGGGGAACUGCGUCUGAUACUGGAUGGCUUGAGGUUGGGAGAGGGAUGCGGAAUUCCAGGUGUAGCGGUGAAAUGCGCAGAUAUCUGGAGGAACACCGGUGGCGAAGGCGGCGUCCUGGACCAACACUGACACUGAGGAGCGAAAGCCAGGGGAGCAAACGGG